This 128-nucleotide small nuclear RNA is filed under the name Notechis scutatus (mainland tiger snake). Its description in RNAcentral is "U4 spliceosomal RNA (ENSNSUG00000012791.1)". Lineage: Eukaryota; Metazoa; Chordata; Lepidosauria; Squamata; Elapidae. The record is from RNAcentral.
AGCUUUGCGCAGUGGCAGUAUCAUAGCCAAUGAGGUUUAUCCAAGGGGAGAUUAUUACUUUUCCCAAUAUGUAAAAGCAACAAUCGGAGCAGUUAUGUCAGGCAUGAAAAAUUAGGUUCAUACGUGAA